Molecule: ribosomal RNA, 253 nt
Filed under: uncultured bacterium
Lineage: Bacteria
Description: partial 16S ribosomal RNA
Rfam family: Bacterial small subunit ribosomal RNA
Source: RNAcentral
UACGUAGGGGGCAAGCGUUGUCCGGAAUCAUUGGGCGUAAAGAGCGUGUAGGCGGCCCGGUAAGUCCGCUGUGAAAUCUCGAGGCUCAACUUCGAGCUGUCGGUGGAAACUGUCUGGCUAGAGUCCGGAAGAGGAGAAUGGAAUUCCUGGUGUAGCGGUGAAAUGCGCAGAUAUCAGGAGGAACACCAAUAGCGAAGGCAGCUCGCUGGGACGUGACUGACGCUGAGACGCGAAAGCGUGGGGAGCAAACAGG